UUUGUGCAGAGGUGAUUGCAUAGUUAAUGAGGUUCUAAUCAGAGCACAAUUAUUGCUGAUUGAAACCU
Molecule: small nuclear RNA, 68 nt
Filed under: Cervus elaphus hippelaphus
Lineage: Eukaryota; Metazoa; Chordata; Mammalia; Artiodactyla; Cervidae
Source: RNAcentral